This 479-nucleotide ribosomal RNA is filed under the name uncultured bacterium. RNAcentral describes it as "bacterial SSU rRNA". It matches the Rfam family "Bacterial small subunit ribosomal RNA", at positions 37 to 518 of the family's 1533-position model. The record is from RNAcentral.
UGGCGGCGUGCUUAACACAUGCAAGUCGAACGAAGCAUUUCUAACUCUCGGAGGAGGAAAUGACUGAGUGGCGGACGGGUGAGUAACGCGUGGGUAACCUGCCUUAUACAGGGGGAUAACAGUUAGAAAUGACUGCUAAUACCGCAUAACCCGCUAGUACCGCAUGGUACAGACGGAAAAGAUUUAUCGGUAUAAGAUGGACCCGCGUCUGAUUUAGCUAGUUGGUGAGGUAAUGGCUCACCCAAGGCGACGAUCAGUAGCCGGCUUGAGAGAGUGAACGGCCACAUUGGGACUGAGACACGGCCCAAACUCCUACGGGAGGCAGCAGUGGGGAAUAUUGCACAAUGGGGGGAAAAACCCCCUGAUGCAGCAACGCCGCGUGAAGGAAGAAGUAUUUCGGUAUGUAAACUUCUAUCAGCAGGAAAGAAAAUGACGGUACCUGACUAAGAAGCCCCGGCUAACUACGUGCCAGCCGCCGC